CAAAAUGACUCUCGGCAACGGAUAUCCCGGCUCUCGCAUCGAUGAAGAACGUAGCGAAAUGCGAUACUUGGUGUGAAUUGCAGAAUCCCGUGAACCAUCGAGUCUUUGAACGCAAGUUGCGCCCGAAGCCUUUAGGCUUAGGGCACGUCUGCCUGGGUGUCACG
This 164-nucleotide ribosomal RNA is filed under the name Daucus guttatus. Its description in RNAcentral is "5.8S ribosomal RNA". It matches the Rfam family "5.8S ribosomal RNA". From Rfam's summary of the family: 5.8S ribosomal RNA (5.8S rRNA) is a component of the large subunit of the eukaryotic ribosome. It is transcribed by RNA polymerase I as part of the 45S precursor that also contains 18S and 28S rRNA. The record is from RNAcentral. Lineage: Eukaryota; Viridiplantae; Streptophyta; Magnoliopsida; Apiales; Apiaceae.